CUGCUAUUAAUGACUUCAACCAUCUAUGUCACUAUAACUAAUAGAUCAUCUUCAGUAAAAGUAGCAUAUGAACAAUUCCCAGCUGUUGUUUUGGUUGCUGCUGGUUGCACUUAGUAAUAGACUCUAUUACAUGAUUUAUGGAAAGAGGAAGUGUCUUUACAGUUUUGGCUGUGUUGCUCAAUGUUGUUAGAGCAGAUUAACUAUUAUGCCUCUUGUAGUCAAUAUGUAACGAUUAAGUAUUGAUGUCAAUGAUAUAAUGUUCAUUUCAGGUAAUUACAUAGGUAAUUCCUAUGAGAAUAAUAAUAACAUCUUGUUGCACAGUGCACUUUUAAGCAUAAGAGUGAUUGUUGAAAAUAUUGUUUUGGUCUGACUUGAUUCGCAUUUUUAUGGAUACAAUGUACAAACUGAUGUGCAUAUUUUGGUGUUUACAAAACACUUGGAUUAUGUUGAAAUAAAAAGAACUAGAGUUACUUAUGCAAGAGGGAAGUGCUCUAACUAGUAGUGCACUUUUAAAAUAAUACACGGAAAGUUCUGAGAAAAGAACUGUUAAAUGUCACAUUAAUUUGAAAAGAGCCUCAUAAGAAUAAUAUAGUAAGAUAAUAUAAGAUUAAAUGUAGCUCCUGAUUCUCCAUGCACCCCGGGUGCUGCCUUCUGUGUGUCUGCUGUGUGACUCUCACUUCCUGUGGUCUCUUGUUUUGGACACUGUGUUCCUCAUGUCGGGCCAGAACUUUGUCUGUGGUUGUUUUGUUGGUCCAUUUUAAACUGCUGCACAUUUUUGGCGCAGCUACUGAAGGAUUCUUGGGAUGUGCCAUGUGGAAGGAGACUGUUACCGUGGUGGCAGUUGCUAGAGUAACAAUCUAAAGCCACGGUUGCCAUGGAGACAGCGGUGGAGGAGGUCGGCAUGGAAACUGCACCGACCGCAGACAGGGAUCUGAUUGGUCCGUGUAGUUCCUGUGAGUCGAUGCUACGCAGCACAGAGACACGCAGCAAGGACACCCCACCCACUCAUCCCACCCACCCUCAAUGCACACCCACACAGACCCAGGGCACCCCCGAAUCUGGGGGUGGGGAAGGGUGGAGAUUAAAAUGUUUCACAAGGGGUUGUAAAACUUUAAGUGUUUGUAUAUUGAAGUAUUCUGUUGUAUUUUAGCGUAUUCAGUUGAACUGAGGUAUGCACGUGCAAUAGAUAAAGUGUUUGAAACUAGAACAUUCCCAUUGUUAUUUCUUUUUACGAUGUGGAACUUCGCUAAUGUCUUGACUGUUGAUUAAAAUAAAUGCGUGUAUAGCAGGGGUCUCCAACCUGUAGCUCUCCACCCCCUUCUAUGUAGCUUACCAAAGGAUUUCAGAAUUCUACGUAUUGUGCUAAAAUUUUAUUAAUUAUUAUUAAACAAUUUUGAUGCUUAACUUGCACUAAUACAUCUAUAGUGGUUUAUGGUAUAUAAGCAUCUAACUCUUCCCCAUCUAAUCCUUACUGUGGCUUAUAUAUACUCCAAUUAGAAGCUUUCUGGCAUUUUUGUUUUUUAAAUAUAAGCUCACAAGGGGAAAAGGGUUAGAGACUGCUGGUGUAUACCAACUACCAAUGGUGUUCUUUUCCAUUUCAAAUGUUCAAGUUACUUUAAAUUGAUUGGUGGUAUGAGGUGUUAAAAUAUAGUAUCUUAAAUUGUAAAAAUCAAUCCAAAUAAAAAUUACGUCCUUAAAAAAUUAUAAGAAAAAACAAUAAACAUUUUCUUCACAACA
This is a long non-coding RNA of Boleophthalmus pectinirostris (great blue-spotted mudskipper), 1737 nucleotides long. RefSeq lists it as uncharacterized. The transcript has 2 exons. NCBI's taxonomy places the organism in Eukaryota, Metazoa, Chordata, Actinopteri, Gobiiformes, Gobiidae. The record is from RefSeq and is a predicted model, not a curated record.